Molecule: small nuclear RNA, 219 nt
Organism: Heterocephalus glaber (naked mole-rat)
Lineage: Eukaryota; Metazoa; Chordata; Mammalia; Rodentia; Bathyergidae
Gene: U2
Rfam family: U2 spliceosomal RNA
About the family: U2 is a small nuclear RNA (snRNA) component of the spliceosome (involved in pre-mRNA splicing).
Source: Ensembl
AUCGCUUCUCGGCCUUUUGGCUAAGAUCAAGUGUAGAAACUUUCCAGGACCAAAUCCACCACAUCAGUUUUCUUGGAUCUUAAUGUCAGGAAGAGCUAUACUAUUCUGAGCAAUCAAUAUGCUUUUAGUUUAAUACCUUUUUUUUGCUUUGGUUGCUAGGAAGCUCGACACUGAGUUCAUGUACCUACUUUGUAAGUAAAUGGGUUCAUAGAAAAUUUA